UACGUAGGCAGCGAGCGUUGUUCGGAAUUACUGGGCGUAAAGAGUGUGUAGGCGGUGCUCUAAGUUCGGUGUGAAAUCUCCUGGCUCAACUGGGAGGGUGCGCCGGAAACUGGAGUGCUUGAGCGUGGGAGAGGAAAGCGGAAUUCCAGGUGUAGCGGUGAAAUGCGUAGAUAUCUGGAGGAACACCGGUGGCGAAGGCGGCAUCCUGGACCGACACUGACGCUAAGGAGCGAAAGCCAGGGGAGCAAACGGG
Molecule: ribosomal RNA, 253 nt
Filed under: uncultured bacterium
Lineage: Bacteria
Description: partial 16S ribosomal RNA
Rfam family: Bacterial small subunit ribosomal RNA
Source: RNAcentral